GUCUUUUUGAGUAUAAUUUAAAGUUUAAUCUGCCCACUGAUAUUAUAUUAAAGGGCUGCAGUAUUAUGACUGUACAAAGGUAGCAUAAUCAUUAGUUUUUUAAUUGAAAACUUGUAUGAAAGAUUUGAUGAAAUAUUAACUGUCUCUAAUUUAUUAUUUGAAAUUUAUUUUUUAGUUAAAAAGCUAAAAUAAUUUUAAAAGACGAGAAGACCCUAUAGAGUUUUAUAUUUAUUUUUAUUUAAAAAUUAUAUAAAAAUUAAUAUUAAAAUAAAAAUAAAUAUUUUAUUGGGGUGAUAGAAAAAUUUAAUUAACUUUUUUUAAAAAUUAAACAUAAAUAAAUGAUUAAAUGAUCCAUUAUUAAUGAUUAUAAGAAAAAAUUACCUUAGGGAUAACAGCGUAAUAUUUUUUUUUAGUUCAAAUAAAAAAAAAAGUUUGCGACCUCGAUGUUGGAUUAAGAUAAAAUUUAAAUGCAAAAGUUUAAAAUUUUGAUCUGUUCGAUCAUUAAAAUCUU
RNAcentral lists this ribosomal RNA (511 nucleotides) under Paralasa herse. RNAcentral describes it as "partial 16S ribosomal RNA". The stretch from base 388 to 511 matches the Rfam family "Bacterial large subunit ribosomal RNA", at positions 2473 to 2597 of the family's 2925-position model. Lineage: Eukaryota; Metazoa; Arthropoda; Insecta; Lepidoptera; Nymphalidae. The record is from RNAcentral.